CAUCUCAAAAUAAAUAAAUAAAUAAAACAAAAUCAGAAGUUUUUCUUCUACAACAGCUCCAGUAUUUCAUCCCCUCAUGGAAAAUAGGUACUCCAGAAUGAUACACACAAACUUCUUUUAGACUCUCUAGGCCCCGAUAUGUCUUUGAACAGCCUUCAUUCUUACGUGAGGUCCCAAUCUUAAUUUCAUCUUUGUCUUCUUUAUUAUUAUCUUCUUCAUUCCCUAAUGAUGGUUUAAGUUUAUUAAGUGCUUGUUUUAGGUAGGCAGAUAUUUUUAAUUCCAAAUUUGUCAUUGGUUCAUCUGGGCUUGGCCUUUUUAUUGCUUCUACUGGCUUAGGGGCUUGAAUGAUGUGUUCCUGAAAUUUGGGUUUCAAUUCAGAUCUUUCUUCUCAGUAGUCUUGACUUCAGAUUUGACUGGCUCAAGUGGCUUCUCACUGUCAUAUCUACCUUUUGUACAAUAUAUGAUGCUUAAGAAAUCAGAAAAAUUGGGCCGGGUGCGGUGGCUCAUGCCUGUAAUCCUAGCACUUUGGGAGGCCGAGGUGGGUGGAUCACCUGAGGCCAGGAGUUCAAGACCAGCCUGGCCAUUAUGGUGAAACCCCAUCUUUAAAAAAUAAUAAUUAAAUAAAUAAAUAAAAAAUAAAUCAGAAAAAUCAUUUGUUCUUCACUUACAGCAAGACCAAACCUUUAAUGCGUCAUGAAAAACUGGAACACCUGGGUGGUAUGUGGAAGCAUCAUUGGAAUUGGUCUCAGGAUUGAAGCACUGACCACAGUCCCAGCUGUAGCACAGCAAAGCCAUUUUCUUUUCCCACUGUCAGAAGCAAGGCCCAAACACUGGGAACAGAAAGAGGAUGCAUUAGCCACUCCCGUGUUGCCAGCACCGGUGUGUCAACUGCUAUUUUAGUUUCUUCUUUGAGUGGCUAUUUAUAUCCUUUGCCCAUUUUGCUUUUGAUCUUUUCUCUAUUUUUAGAUGUUGGAGAUAUUAGUGUUGUCUGUGAUAUAAUUUGCAAAUAUAUUUUUCCAUUUGUCAUUUGUCUUCCAACUUGGCUUGGCUUUUAGUGUUUUGUUUUGUUUGCCUUGAUGUUUUUGUUUUAUGUAGUCAAAUUUAUUCUUUCUUUUUGUUCAUUGUUUCUGGACUUUGAGUCAUAGGUAGAAAGAUUAUUCCAACUUUCAGAUUGUAAAAGAAUUCUUACGCUUUUCCCUAAUAAUGUGUGAUUUCACUUUUUAUACUUAGCUGUUUAAUUCAUUUGGAAUUUAUCUUGUUACAUGGUAUAAAGAAAAUAUCUAAUUUUAUAUUUUAUUUUUUCCAAGUGGCCAUCUAGUUAUCCCAAUACUAUUUAUUAAAAGUCAGCUUUUGGGCUGCACAGUCAUAAAACUGAGGAGGCAGAGCCAAGACGGUCAGGACUGCUCGCUAACUCUAUGAACAGGUUUAAGUUUUUGAAACUGAAGUAGGUCUACACAGUAGGAACUCAUGUCUUUCCUUGUAAGUAAACCAGAGCAAAUCAGGACCAAGGAGGUGAUCUCAGAGUCGAUAGCAUCCUUUUCUAAUCAGGAAAUCAUGAGUAGCUUUCUGCCAGAGGGAUGGUGUUAUGAACUGCUCACUGGGGUAGGCAAAGGAUUUGAGGACCUGACAACUUUGAAUCUAGCAAGGUACAAACUAAUGGGAGAGUAUAUGACUGCAAGAUUAACCUGGAAGCUUGUUCCAGUGCGAUGGUAGCAUUAUUGCAGGGCAAGCUGCAUAUCUCUAGACUCUUCAAACAUCCCAAUAUUGUGCCAUAUCGAGCCAACUUUAUUGCAGACAAUGACAAUGAGCUGUGGGUUGUCACAUCAUUAAUGGCGUAUGGUUCUGCAAAGGAUCUCAUCUGUACACACUUUAUGGAUGGCAUGAAUGAGCUGGCAAUCACUUACAUCCUGCAGGGGUGCUGAAGGCCCUCGACUACAUCCACCACAUCGGAUAUGUACACAGGAGUGUCAAAACGAGCCACAUCCUCAUCUCUGUGGAUGGGAAGGUCUACCUGUCUGGUUUGUGCAGCAACCUCAGCAUGAUAAGCCACCAGCAGUGGCAGUGAGUGGUCCACGACUUUCCCGAGUACAGUGUCAAGGUUCUGCUGUGGCUCGGCCCUGAGGUCCCCAGAAGAAUCUCCAGGGUUAUGAUGCCAAGGCUGACAUCUACAGUGUGGGAAUCACAGUGUGUGAACUGGCCAAUGGCCACGUCCCCUUUUAAGAAUAUGCCUACUACCCAGAUGCUGCAGAGAAAUUGAAUGGCACAGUGCCCUGCCUGUUGGAUACCAGCACCAUCUUCUCCAAGGAGCUGACCAUGAGCCCUUCAUGCUCAGUGGCCAACUCAGGCCUGAAUGAAAGCCUGACCACCAGCAACCCCUGGCCUCCAAUGGCAACUCGCCUACUCACCCUUACCACCGAACCUUCUCCCACUUCCACCACUUUGUGGAGCAGUGCCUUCAGUGCAACCCAGAUGCCUGGCAGAACACCAGCACCCUCCUGAACCACUCUUUUUCAAGCAGAUCAAGCGACGUGCCUCAGAGGCUUUGCCUGAAUUGCUUUGUCCUGUCACCCCCAUCACCAGUUUUGAAGGCAGCCAGUCUCAGGACUGCAGUGGAAUCUUUGGCUGAGUAACAAACCUGGAAGAGCUAGAGGUGGACGAUUGGGAGUUCUGAGCCUCUGCAAACUGUGCGCACUCUCCAGCCAGGAACACAGAGGCCUCCCAGAGGCCCUACCUGAGGGCUGGCCACAGUCCCACCUUCCUGGGCAGAUUGAGUAGAAAGGACAUUCUUUCAGGAAAGUUGGCUGCUGACUGAUUGGGAAAGAAAAUCCUGGAAAGACACUUCUUCACUGCUCCAAGGCUUUUGAAUCUCAACAACCAGGGAUCAGGAGGGUCUGAAGCCGACAUCCCCAGUCCUGUGAGCUCAGGUGACCUUCGCAGAAGGAAGAGAUGCUAUUCUGGCCCUGGAAGCUGAAUUCCAAGACCAGGGUUUGACUCAUUUACCCUGAGGACCACCACCUCUUCCCAAUGCUUGCAACCAGCCUCAUUCUAUUUAACUUUGCUCUCAGAUAUUAUAGGUCAGUGAAGGUCAAGUAGUAAGCUGCCUGCCUCCCUUCCCCUACACCUCUCCCUCAUAAUUGCAGAGAAGGGUAUUUCAGUCUUUUUAAACACAGACUAAGUCUGAGACUGUCCAUCCUUAUUGCUAUUCUGGCUUGGGCGUUGACACCUAAAUCUUUCCCACGGUUUAUGUGUGUGCCUCAUUCCUUUCCGACCAAGAACCCAUCUUAGCACCUCCUGCCAGGUGCCCUGGUGCUUUCUCCAAGGGCCAUCAGUGUCUUGCCUAGCUUGAGGGCUUAAGUUUUCAUGCUGUGUUAGUUUUGUUGUCAGAACAAAUUAAAAUUUCCAGAGACAAAAAAAGGGUCAACUUUUCUCCUUCUUACUUUAAAUGCCACUUUUAUAAUAUGCUAAAUUGUGUGUCCGUUAGUUCUAUUUCUGGACUUUCUAUUCUAUCACAUUGUUCAGGCCAUCUAUUCAUGUGCCAAUAUCACAGAUUUAAUUACAGAGGCUUCAUAUACAUUGCUUUAAAAAAUAUAUUAUUGGCUGGUACAGUGGCUCACAUCUGUAAUCCUAACAUUUUGGAAGACCAAGGCAGGUGGACCACUUGAGUCCAGGAGUUUGAGACCAGCCUGGGCAAUCUGGCAAAAUCCGGACAUUAUAAAAAAAAUUAGCCCUGGGUUGUGGUGCACACCUGUGGUCCUGGUUACUCAGGAGGCUGAAGCAGGAGGAUCUUGAGCCCAGGAGGUGGAUGUUGCAGUGAGCUGAGAUCACACCACUGCAAACCAGCCUGGAUGACAAAGCAAGAUCCUGUCUCAAAAAAAAAAAAAAAAAAAAAAAAAAUGCUGAAUGUUCUUUGCCCAAGGGUGAGGAUGCAGUAAUUUUUUGCCUUAGAAUUGGUCAACUGUUAAUCUGUUCAAUGUCCUCUCAGUGCUGACAGCAGCAAAUACAACUGAGAAAGCUGAGAAUUCUGCACAAACCUUGCAUACUGUUUCCGGACUCUUCCCUGCAUGUAUGUAAUGGUUAAAAGCAUAGUCUUUAGAAUUAUGAUAUUGAAUCCAAUUUAAGUUGUUUAUUAGUUGUGUGACCUAGCCUACUGGUCUAAUAUAAGUCUGUUGAGCUCUAGUUUAUUGAGCUGAUCAUGAAGCUCUCCAAGCCUCAAUUUCCCUAUAAUGGAGAUAAGAGUAUCUCAUGUGGUGUUUAGAAAAACUAAAUGAGAUAAUCCAUGUAAAAUCCUGCUAUGGUUUGUAUUAUUAGC
Non-coding RNA from Callithrix jacchus (white-tufted-ear marmoset), 4309 nucleotides. NCBI's taxonomy places the organism in Eukaryota, Metazoa, Chordata, Mammalia, Primates, Cebidae. The record is from RefSeq and is a predicted model, not a curated record.